CAGUCGCCGCGGGAAUACGAAGGGGGCUAGCGUUGCUCGGAAUCACUGGGCGUAAAGGGUGCGUAGGCGGGUCUUUAAGUCAGGGGUGAAAUCCUGGAGCUCAACUCCAGAACUGCCUUUGAUACUGAAGAUCUUGAGUUCGGGAGAGGUGAGUGGAACUGCGAGUGUAGAGGUGAAAUUCGUAGAUAUUCGCAAGAACACCAGUGGCGAAGGCGGCUCACUGGCCCGAUACUGACGCUGAGGCACGAAAGCGUGGGGAGCAAACAGGAUUAGAUACCCGCGUAGUCCCUGUCUCUUAUAC
RNAcentral lists this ribosomal RNA (301 nucleotides) under uncultured bacterium. Its description in RNAcentral is "partial 16S ribosomal RNA". It matches the Rfam family "Bacterial small subunit ribosomal RNA", at positions 509 to 807 of the family's 1533-position model. The record is from RNAcentral.